RNAcentral lists this ribosomal RNA (253 nucleotides) under uncultured bacterium. Its description in RNAcentral is "partial 16S ribosomal RNA". It matches the Rfam family "Bacterial small subunit ribosomal RNA", at positions 524 to 776 of the family's 1533-position model. The record is from RNAcentral.
UACGUAGGGCGCAAGCGUUAUCCGGAAUUAUUGGGCGUAAAGAGCUCGUAGGCGGUUUGUCGCGUCUGCCGUGAAAGUCCGGGGCUCAACUCCGGAUCUGCGGUGGGUACGGGCAGACUAGAGUGAUGUAGGGGAGACUGGAAUUCCUGGUGUAGCGGUGAAAUGCGCAGAUAUCAGGAGGAACACCGAUGGCGAAGGCGGGAUCCUGGGCCAGUACUGACGCUGAGGAGCGAAAGCGUGGGGAGCAAACAGG